This 30-nucleotide non-coding RNA is filed under the name Rattus norvegicus (Norway rat). Lineage: Eukaryota; Metazoa; Chordata; Mammalia; Rodentia; Muridae. The record is from RNAcentral.
ACCACGAUUAUCCUUGUGGUCAAAUCGUGC